GUGUGUGUGUGUGUAAUGGGAGCGAUUUAUGAGCCGUGUGCUUUAGGGUGUGUGUGCAUUUGCUUGAGUAUUAUCAGCUCUAUAAAUUACACACACUGCAAUGAGCCUGGCAAAGUGCUCUGCUCCAUCAUACUUAGCCGCUCUGUCCUUAUCUGCGCUGCCUCGUGUCCACGUUCUCUCUGUUUUUCUCUUUAUCUCUCUCUCUCCUUCUCACUUGUUCCUGAGGGACUAAUGUGUCCUCGUCGCUGCGUCUGGACUCCGAGAGGAACGCUCAUCUGUUUAGACUAAGCCCUGACACGGGAUUUUUCUGUCCGCAUUAACACCUGCUGCUUUGCCAACACAGAGCCCACACACACACACUUUGCUGCAGCAAGUGAAUUCUGGGUUCUGAUUGGCCACAAGGCGUUGAUUAUGGUCAAUAUUAAUGCGCUUGUCGUUUCCAUAGCAACAGCUCAUUCACAGGGACUUGUACGGCUGACGCUCCACCACGUAUCCUUUGACUUCGAACAUUCAGAACCGUAAGCGUGUCAGGUUCUGCGACUCCCUGCGAUAUUCUCGGGAUGAGCGUAACAUUAUAGAAGCUACACGAAAAGCCUCCUCGUUUCCUACAGUGAUGACUUUUUUUCAGAUUGAGAUGAAAUUUGAAGCGUGAGAUUUAUUUAUUUAUUUUUUUAACCACACAGGCGCUUUCUUUCCAUUAAUUAAUAUUCCCGAAUUGUUCUUGCCUCUGCCACGUCAUUCGCAACAGCUGCAUGCGCACGGCUGCGGCGUUCGGUGUGAAAUUCAUUAAUUUUCAACUCGCGCCUCGGCGAGACGAACCCGUGAAAGCAAGGUAGCACCUUUCCGCCGUUGCUUUCGCGAGAUGGUGCGAGAUGCUGCCUCUUUUUCGACACCGACAAUGCGGCGUACACAGCUGGCUGCUGUCAUCAGACGGAGUCGAAGAUUUCACCCAAAACUCGGUGAAGAUUAGCUGCAGCAGAGAGCGUGCGUGCGUGCGUGCGUGCGUUUAUUUUUGUAUGGUCGUGGGCCUUCAUGAUAAUUAAAGUGUGUGUUCACGGUUUCACACGGUUAGCAUGACGGGACAGGGAUGGACUGCGAUUGGUCAGAAAGUGUUGAUCGGUUUUCUGUAACUGCAGCGCUGACUGUAGUGCAGCUUCAAAUCACAGGUUUAGAGAAAUGCAUCAUUGUAUAAAAGAUACGAAGAAAGGCUGGAGAGAUGGGGAAAGAGAGAAAGAAAGGCUGGAGAGAUGGGGAAAGAAAGAAAGAAAGAGGCUGGAGAGAUGGGAGAAGAAAGAAAGAAAGAAAGAGGCUGGAGAGAUGGGAGAAGAAGGAAGAAGAAAGGCUGGAGAGAUGGGAGAAGAAAG
Molecule: long non-coding RNA, 1364 nt
Organism: Ictalurus punctatus (channel catfish)
Lineage: Eukaryota; Metazoa; Chordata; Actinopteri; Siluriformes; Ictaluridae
Source: Ensembl